RNAcentral lists this long non-coding RNA (278 nucleotides) under Ananas comosus (pineapple). RNAcentral's name for it is "long non-coding RNA (ACOM_LNC043510)". The record is from RNAcentral. Lineage: Eukaryota; Viridiplantae; Streptophyta; Magnoliopsida; Poales; Bromeliaceae.
UAUAGUUUGACCCUCCUGUAGUUUAAUUCGUCCAUCUUUUAGCAACCAAUCAAAAAUCAGAUCGGUCUUUACUAUAUCAAACGAAUAACUAAAUGUAGACACAUGUGCUUUCGCCUCUCUUGAUUUGGCGGGUUUUAACAAAGCAUAUUUGUACGGUUGAUUAUUUCUCACCAAUCUCGGCAACACAAAUUUCGGCGUCAUCAGCCGAAUCUUCUGUCUCUUCAGAUGAAUUCGGCUCUUCAUGAGCCGAAGACUCUUCAUAGAAAGAAAUAUUUUUC